CAUGCAUGUGGCAUGUCCGGUUCCGGGGUUUGCCCCCCGGAGGAAAGAGGGAAUACAGUGCGGCGCGUUUCGCGUCCAAAUCUGUAGCUGCCCCCGCAACUGUAAGCGGCGAGCGAGGCUGAUCACGCCACUGGAGCGAUCCGGGAAGGCCAGCCAGAGCAUAGACCCGCGAGCCAGGAGACCUGCCGGACAGGCGCCCUUGGA
This 204-nucleotide non-coding RNA is filed under the name Salipiger abyssi. The record is from RNAcentral. Lineage: Bacteria; Pseudomonadati; Pseudomonadota; Alphaproteobacteria; Rhodobacterales; Roseobacteraceae.